AGUGAGCCGAGAUUGCACCUGCACUCCAGCCUGGGCGACAGAGCAAGAUUCCGUCUCAAAAACAAAACAAACCAGUAACUUAAUCUUGAACUAACACAAGCCAAGGUGCAAUUACUUUACACAGCUAUAGUGCACUGGAAAAAAAAAAAGUUCUCUUAGACUACAUGUUACCAAGAGCACUGGUAGUACAUUAAUGAAAUGUGGGGAUUCCAGAUAAUUCUGAAUAUACACUUACAAAAGUACAGCUACAAAAUUCUCUCCUGGGGACUUUAAUACUUCAUGAAAAUUUUCCCACAGAAGAUUUUGCAAUCAGCUGACAUGAACAGCAGACAUGCUUUAAAGUAAGUUUCUUGCUGUAAAGUUUUAAAUUAGCAUUUUGGUCAAGACUAAGUUAAACCUCAAGUGACUAGUGUAUACUGAGAAAAAAAAUCCCCAGAAAAACAAAGUAACAAACUACUGUGUGGACUUUCAAAAUGAAAAAAUACCACUCUAGUCUGUAACCUAAAAACGUAACUGUGGCAGCUGCCAUUCCUCUGACAGUGCUGCUUUCUACAUCACAAACACCCACCAUGAGAGCAACUCACCUCUUACAGAAAGAAGCAUUUACUAAAGGUUAUAAAACUGCAACCAAGUGCAGUUAGAGUUCAAUUAUCUGAGCCACUAAGAAAGUAAGCAACGAUGUCCUACAUAAUCUACAACUCACAAAUUUGGCCUUAAAAUAUGACCUAAGUAACAGCAGAUUUACCUCACAAAUUAAGUCUUUGCCAGGUGCUAUUAAUUUUACUUUAAUUUGUUUUCUUACCACCCAUCAAUUAAGAGAAAAAGAUGACCUGGAGGCAAUGAAGUGACAGAAGGAAACAAAACAAUUAACCAAACUUAAAGACAGUCAUAAAUGAUCCACAGAUAAUAGCACACAUGAUAUUUUUCAGGGAAUUAUUAUAAAACAAACUUCAUAUAUCUGAAAAAUCAAAUAUAAACACAUUCCAAAAUAGUGCUCAAGAGUGUAUGCGUGUGGAGUGUACACAGGUAAUGCCACAAAUGGGUCUACCGAUACUAAUAACUGCACAAAAACUAUGGAAGGAAUUCCAUGGAGAACAAAUUCCUAGCUGGUUGACCUUUUUUAAUGAUGGUUUUGCUUGGUUUAAAGUUUUACUUUUUCCUGAGAGGUAGAAAGGCUAAAGGAUAAAAGAAAAAAAUAUAUAACAUUUAUUUGCAGGGUACCCAAUACAUCUGGUUAGAAACAACUUGAGAAUUGGCCCGUCAUAUAAAGCAGAAUUUUUCACACAUUUUUCCCCUAUGACUCACAGAAGAAAUACAUUUUACAUGAUGACCCAACAUACAUUUUAAAAAAAAAAGUUUCGCCAAACAGUAUUUACCCUUACUCUCUAUGUACUCUGAUUUUUAGUUCUAUUUCAUUUUUUCUUAAAAGCUGGUCAUGACCCUCUUAAAUUGAUUUUACAAACCAGAAAUAGGUUUUAAUAUAAAGUAUAAAAAAGUAUUCUUUCCAUCUCAUCCAAUUCCUCCAAAUCCAAUUACUGCUUCUAGCAUACAAGAGGAGGGAACAGGGCUUCUUUUAAAACAAAGACUUCCUCCCUGAUCUGGUGCUUACAAAGACAAAAUGCAUUCUUAAAUUACAUUAUUUCAACGAACCAAGUAUUUGAUAAAAUGAAAGUGUUCUUUUUCUCUUUACAGAAUUGUGUAUAAAAGUAAUAAACGAAAAUUACUAUUUAUUUUUCAAAUUCAUACUACCUUCAAUCUAGGAAGCAUGCUACUUUAAGGAUAACAUUUUAAAAAACAUACAAACAUAACAUAAAACUGGAACACUUUGGCAAAUUUUAACAAUUUUCACUUUCAGAAAGCAUUUAGCAAUUGUUUAAGUUUGCAAACAUUAACUUUUCUGGUCCAGUAUCUACAAUGUAAAAGUUCUCUAAAAGAUACUAUUGGUAGGAGUAUAUAUUGGCUCACACACCCUAUUGCAGUUUAGUAGCAUACGAAACAUUUUAAUGAAUUCUUUUUAAAAUUUUUAAUUUUUUAAACUUUUAUUUUAGGUUCAGGGGUACAUGUGCA
This 2067-nucleotide long non-coding RNA is filed under the name Homo sapiens (human). RNAcentral describes it as "HSALNT0302998". Lineage: Eukaryota; Metazoa; Chordata; Mammalia; Primates; Hominidae. The record is from RNAcentral.